Molecule: ribosomal RNA, 1413 nt
Filed under: Pediococcus pentosaceus
Lineage: Bacteria; Bacillati; Bacillota; Bacilli; Lactobacillales; Lactobacillaceae
Description: bacterial SSU rRNA
Rfam family: Bacterial small subunit ribosomal RNA
Source: RNAcentral
CUUCCGUUAAUUGAUUAUGACGUACUUGUACUGAUUGAGAUUUUAACACGAAGUGAGUGGCGAACGGGUGAGUAACACGUGGGUAACCUGCCCAGAAGUAGGGGAUAACACCUGGAAACAGAUGCUAAUACCGUAUAACAGAGAAAACCGCAUGGUUUUCUUUUAAAAGAUGGCUCUGCUAUCACUUCUGGAUGGACCCGCGGCGUAUUAGCUAGUUGGUGAGGUAAAGGCUCACCAAGGCAGUGAUACGUAGCCGACCUGAGAGGGUAAUCGGCCACAUUGGGACUGAGACACGGCCCAGACUCCUACGGGAGGCAGCAGUAGGGAAUCUUCCACAAUGGACGCAAGUCUGAUGGAGCAACGCCGCGUGAGUGAAGAAGGGUUUCGGCUCGUAAAGCUCUGUUGUUAAAGAAGAACGUGGGUAAGAGUAACUGUUUACCCAGUGACGGUAUUUAACCAGAAAGCCACGGCUAACUACGUGCCAGCAGCCGCGGUAAUACGUAGGUGGCAAGCGUUAUCCGGAUUUAUUGGGCGUAAAGCGAGCGCAGGCGGUCUUUUAAGUCUAAUGUGAAAGCCUUCGGCUCAACCGAAGAAGUGCAUUGGAAACUGGGAGACUUGAGUGCAGAAGAGGACAGUGGAACUCCAUGUGUAGCGGUGAAAUGCGUAGAUAUAUGGAAGAACACCAGUGGCGAAGGCGGCUGUCUGGUCUGCAACUGACGCUGAGGCUCGAAAGCAUGGGUAGCGAACAGGAUUAGAUACCCUGGUAGUCCAUGCCGUAAACGAUGAUUACUAAGUGUUGGAGGGUUUCCGCCCUUCAGUGCUGCAGCUAACGCAUUAAGUAAUCCGCCUGGGGAGUACGACCGCAAGGUUGAAACUCAAAAGAAUUGACGGGGGCCCGCACAAGCGGUGGAGCAUGUGGUUUAAUUCGAAGCUACGCGAAGAACCUUACCAGGUCUUGACAUCUUCUGACAGUCUAAGAGAUUAGAGGUUCCCUUCGGGGACAGAAUGACAGGUGGUGCAUGGUUGUCGUCAGCUCGUGUCGUGAGAUGUUGGGUUAAGUCCCGCAACGAGCGCAACCCUUAUUACUAGUUGCCAGCAUUAAGUUGGGCACUCUAGUGAGACUGCCGGUGACAAACCGGAGGAAGGUGGGGACGACGUCAAAUCAUCAUGCCCCUUAUGACCUGGGCUACACACGUGCUACAAUGGAUGGUACAACGAGUCGCGAGACCGCGAGGUUAAGCUAAUCUCUUAAAACCAUUCUCAGUUCGGACUGUAGGCUGCAACUCGCCUACACGAAGUCGGAAUCGCUAGUAAUCGCGGAUCAGCAUGCCGCGGUGAAUACGUUCCCGGGCCUUGUACACACCGCCCGUCACACCAUGAGAGUUUGUAACACCCAAAGCCGGUGGGGUAACC